This 595-nucleotide long non-coding RNA is filed under the name Macaca nemestrina (pig-tailed macaque). RNAcentral's name for it is "lncRNA (ENSMNEG00000045847.1)". Lineage: Eukaryota; Metazoa; Chordata; Mammalia; Primates; Cercopithecidae. The record is from RNAcentral.
UGUUUGUUUGUGUUUCAGAUAAAGAGAAGCUUUCUCAGAAAUCCCUCCAGAAGAAUUACCUUUAGAUUUCAAGAUCUCAUUGGCCAGAGCUAGUUAACACGGCAAAUUUUCUCUGCAAGAGAGGCUGGAAAAUGAGGGAACAGCUUGUCGUAACUGAUCAUGACCAGUCACUAUCCAUCAUCACCUGCAGCUGCACUCAUGGCUGCUCAAAACAAAAUCCAGCUUUGAUUGUGAUGAGCUGGGCAUUUCUUCUGGCACUCCUGUGACACUGUGUUGACCUAUCUCAAAUCACCAGCCACUCUGCAUUCAUUGCUGUGGUUUGCCUCCUUGCCUCUGCCACUGGACUAGAAGAGUUUGGAAACGUCCAGAGACCAACUGUCAACUUCACCCUGUAACCCUUCACAGAUGUACACCCAAAGACUCAGAGAUACUCGGUAACUUGCCCAAGGUCACACAGACUGUAAGCAGCUCUCAACACCGCGUGGGACUUCUGCACAAGGAAAUUUCUCUUUGGGAGAAGUCACCAAGUUGCAUCCAGCACAUGGACUGGUUCUUUUACUCAUCCACAGGCUUCGAAGUCAAACAAAGGAAUUGA